Molecule: ribosomal RNA, 460 nt
Filed under: uncultured bacterium
Lineage: Bacteria
Description: partial 16S ribosomal RNA
Rfam family: Bacterial small subunit ribosomal RNA
Source: RNAcentral
CCUACGGGAGGCAGCAGUGAGGAAUAUUGGUCAAUGGACGAGAGUCUGAACCAGCCAAGUAGCGUGAAGGAUGACUGCCCUAUGGGUUGUAAACUUCUUUUAUAAAGGAAUAAAACGAGGCACGUGUGCCUUUUUGCAUGUACUUUAUGAAUAAGGAUCGGCUAACUCCGUGCCAGCAGCCGCGGUAAUACGGAGGAUCCGAGCGUUAUCCGGAUUUAUUGGGUUUAAAGGGAGCGUAGAUGGUUUUUUAAGUCAGUUGUGAAAGGUUGUGGCUCAACCGUAAAAUUGCAUUUGAUACUGGCAGUCUUGAGUACAUUUGAGGUAGGCGGAAUGCGUGGUGUAGCGGUGAAAUGCAUAGAUAUCACGAAGAACCCCGAUUGCGAAGGCAGCUUACUAAGCUAUAACUGACAUUGAUGCACGAAAGUGUGGGUAUCAAACAGGAUUAGAUACCCCGGUAGUC